CAAAGAUGCUGCCGAGCUGCUGGUUUAAUUUGCCUUUUAGAGGCGUGUUAGGGAAGGCAUCUGGUUCCAAUCGUGCUGCCCCUUUGAAAGGCCGUUCUCAUUUGUCUGCAACUUCUCUGAAAGAUGAAAGCUGCUAAGCUGGAAUUGUUAGAAAAUGCAGGUCUGCAAGAGAGUGGCAGUCACUGGAGUGGGCCAGGCUUUUAUCCCAGCACCAUGGACUUGUGAUGGAAAUGCCAAAACCUCAGUGAAGAUGGACCCUGGGCACAGCUGAAGUUUCACAUUGUUCUUCUCUAGGCAAGACUGUCCUUGUGAUGCUUCUGUUCUCAGACUAAACAGUAAUGAUCCCUGCUUUGUAUCUGUCCAAAAUUCCUCCUAAAUUCAUUAUUGGGAGCCCACUAUGAUAAACAAGUAGGAAAAGAGUCUCACUGCAAUUCUUCUUUCUGCUGGGUCUUCACUUUCUGCCAUCACAAAAAGCAGCACAGAGCUCCAUUUGGAAUUUCUAGCCUGGGUUU
RNAcentral lists this long non-coding RNA (512 nucleotides) under Zonotrichia albicollis (white-throated sparrow). Its description in RNAcentral is "lncRNA (ENSZALG00000001149.1)". The record is from RNAcentral. Lineage: Eukaryota; Metazoa; Chordata; Aves; Passeriformes; Passerellidae.